RNAcentral lists this ribosomal RNA (118 nucleotides) under uncultured bacterium. RNAcentral's name for it is "partial 16S ribosomal RNA". It matches the Rfam family "Bacterial small subunit ribosomal RNA", at positions 1367 to 1482 of the family's 1533-position model. The record is from RNAcentral.
UACGUUCCCGGGUCUUGUACACACCGCCCGUCACACCACGAAAGUCGGCAACACCCGAAGCCGGUGGCCUAACCCGCAAGGGAGGGGGCCGUCGAAGGUGGGGCUGGCGAUUGGGGUG